RNA transcript from Syzygium oleosum, 5072 nucleotides. It is a transcript of the gene named disease resistance protein RPV1-like, with no coding region annotated. Lineage: Eukaryota; Viridiplantae; Streptophyta; Magnoliopsida; Myrtales; Myrtaceae. The transcript has 7 exons. The record is from RefSeq and is a predicted model, not a curated record.
AGCAUCAUAACCGAAAGUACUCGAUUGCUCCCAUCUUUUUAGAAUUCCACUAGUUUAUUUACUCCGCAAUUGUAUCUUCCUGUUUUUUCAAUUGCGUUAUGACGGUGAAGAUAAAAGAGAAGAAUUGAGUUGGGAGGGACCACUUCGGUUUUGAAAAAACCUGCAUUCGUCAACUUUGACAGGCUGUAAUGAAACGUUCUUAUUGACCAACUGUAGCAAACUGGAGACCCUGACUCUCUGCAUAUUUAGCCAACCGUGUCGUCCACGUUUAAUGACCCACCGAGAUCUCCGUUUGUUAGUUCUGGCUUCUAAACAUUUUCCAUCUCUUGCUGCCACUGCUUUUGCUGCUAUACUUUUCAAUUUUUGUUCCUUGAAGAGAAGAUCAAGUGAGAUCAAAUGGAGGGGAGGGCAAAAAAUAGACGCAUCUGUGAAAAUGAUGGGACAGCAGGAGGCGCUUCUUCUACUCACACUUCAACAGAAGGUCAAGGAAUGGCUACUUCAUCAGGAUAUGACUAUGAAGUAUUCUUGAGCUUUAGAGGACCAGAUACUCGAGCAGGUUUUACCGACUUCCUUUACACUAGUCUUAAAGAUGCAGGAAUCCGCACGUUUAAGGACGACGAAGAGCUCCGCGUUGGGGAAGAGUUUGCCCCGGAACUUCUCCAAGCAAUUAAUCAGUCGAAGAUCUCAAUACCUAUCUUUUCGAAAGGCUAUGCCUCUAGCGUAUGGUGUCUCAAGGAGUUAGUCCAGAUGGUCGAGUGCCAGAAAACUGGAAGACAAAAGAUCAUCCCUAUUUUUUAUGAUGUGGCGCCUUCAGAGGUUCGGCACCAAACAGAGGGUUAUGCACAGGCCUUUCUUGCACAUGAAAACAAGAAGCGACACGACGAAAAGACUAUUCAAGGGUGGAAGGAUGCUCUCAGUGCAGUGGGAGCAAUAAACGGAUGGGACCUGCAUAGCAAGAAGGAGAACAGGCGAGAAGGAGAGUUCGCAAAAGAACUUACCCAUAAGGUUUUCAGCGAGUUGAAAAAGGGUUAUCUAGCGGUAUCAGACUACUUGGUCCGUGUCGACAACCAUGUGGACGCAAUCAUGGAAAAGAUAGGUGCUGAGACAAGUGAAACACGGAUUAUAGGAAUCCACGGGAUGGGUGGCAUCGGAAAGACGACUAUUGCCAAAAUCAUCUACAAUAAGCUUAAAAAAAAUUUCGAGGGCUUUACCCAAAAAACCCAAAAAAAAAAAAAAUUCGAUGGUUGUUGCUUCCUUUCUAACGUCCGUGAAACCUCAAAACUCGAGGGCAUUCACCGCUUGCAGCAUCAGCUCAUCUCUGACAUCCUCAACACGAAAUGGAUGGAUAUAAGAAAUAUUGAUGAAGGGAUUAAGACCAUUAAAGACAGGUUGUCUAAUAAAAGAGUCCUCCUUCUUCUCGAUGAUGUGGCAGAAAAGGAUCAUAUGGAUGCACUUGUAGGAAAUGGUGAUUGGUUUGGUGAAGGGAGCAAACUAAUUAUUACUACAAGAAAGAAAGAUGUUCUCAUUGUUCCGGAAGUGGACUGCACUUAUGAGGUUAAUGGCAUGGAUGACUGUCAAUCUCUUCAACUCUUUAGCAAACAUGCUUUCAGAAGAGACUCUCCUUUGAUUGAGUAUAUUGACCAAUCCAAGAGGGCAAUAGGCAUUGCUAGAGGUCUUCCGCUAGCUCUUGAGGUCAUAGGUUCACUUUUAUCUCGCACUGAAAAGAAAAGCUGGGAUGACAUAUUGGAGAAGUUGGAAAAGGUUCCUCAUGUGGAUAUUCAGAGUAAGCUAAAAAUAAGUUAUGAUGCAUUAGAACUUCGACAACAACAUAUAUUCCUCGAUAUAGCUUGUUUUUUCAUUGGACAUGACAAAGACAUUGUGGUCCAUUUCUGGGAAAAAUCUAAAUUUUUUCCAAAAGUAGAUAUGGAAGUUCUGCAGAACAUGUCUUUGAUAAAGAUUGGAGAGUAUAAUAAAGUGUUGAUGCAUGACCAACUCAGAGAUUUCGGAAGAGAAAUGGCUCGUCAAGAAAGUAAGAUGAAAAUAGAGAAGCAAAGGAGGGUAUGGGAUCCCAAGGAAGCAUUGGAUUUGCUGAGGAGACGUAAGGGAAAAACAAAAGUUGAAGCUCUUCAUCUACACUUUGACCAUGAGCGGCAGUACCGUUUUACCCGUAAAGACUUUAAGAGAAUAUCAAAUGUGGGGUUUCUUCGAGUUAACUGUUGGGAGGAACAUUUUUGUGCUGAAGAGAGGCUUCUUUGGCACGAAUCACCAUCAAAUGUUCUUCCGGCUAAUGUUUUUCGGGAGAAUUCGUAUCUCCUUCCGCAUUUACGAUGGCUUUCUUGGCACGGUAUUCCCCCAACAUUUAACAUUGCAAAUUUCUCCAUGGAGAAUGUGGUUAUUCUUGAUCUAUCUGACAGUGAAAUUACGGAUGAUUGGAAGGGGUGGAGCCAUAUGGAGGUGAUGAAGAAUUUGAAAAUUUUGAAUUUGACCGGAUGCGAUUGCUUGGAGAGAACUCCCAUCUUCUCUGCUGAGGUAAAUUUAGAACGAUUGAUCCUAAAGGGCUGUGAAUCAUUAACUGAUAUUGAUAGGUCGAUUUGUCAUUUGAAAAGCCUAGUUUCCUUAGAUGUAAGCUCUUGUAACAAUCUUCGGAGGCUGCCAGACGAGCUAGGUAGAGAUCUUGCGAGCCUUGAAUACCUAUCUCUGAAAUGUUGCACAUCGUUCGAGAGGCUUCCGGAUACAAUCGGAAAUUUGGAAUCGCUGAUUGAGCUGGAUAUAUCCCAAACGGGGAUCAAAGAACUACCCAAUUCCAUCGGAAAUUUGGAAUCAUUGAUUGAGCUAGAUAUAUCCGAAACGGGGAUCAAAGAACUACCCGAUUCCAUCGGAAAUUUGGAAUCACUGAUUGAGCUGGAUAUAACCCAAACGGAGAUCAAAGAACUACCCGAUUCCAUCGGAAAGUUGAAAAAUUUGAAAGUAGCGAAGAUGGAUUUGAAUGACAUAAGUAAAAUACCCGAUGCCUUCUGGACAAUUGAGAAGCUCGAAGAAAUAGAUGUCCGAUUUACAGAGGAUUUCAAUGUGAAAGUGGAAAUUGGCAAUUGCAUCUAUAGAAAUCGAUCCCUAAGGAUCUUGAAAUUGCGGAAUGCUGCAAUAUACGUGGUACCGAGGCUUCCUGAAAGUCUUAUCAUUCUAAAGUUGUCUGACUUGCAUAUGGAUACGUUUCCGGAUCUCUCAAACCUGACUAAUUUAAAGGAAUUGAAGCUGUCGCUUAGCGAACAUGAUGCUGGUUGGGAAUCUGAUGGGCCUGUGCAAGAAUAUCCGAUGCCAGGGGGGAUUGGGAAUUUAAGCAAACUGGAGACUCUGGACCUAUGCUCUUCUCGUGUGACCCACUUAUCCACGGAUAUUAGUAGUCUCCUUCCUCAACUCCAAAGACUUGAACUCUGGUGCCCUAAUCUGCGUUGCCUCCCGAGCCUUCCCUCCAGUUUAUUAUCCUUGUAUUUGGGCUCUGAACACAUGACCGCCUUACCCAUAGAUAUCGGUCUCCUUCCGCGACUCCAAAAACUUGAUCUCUGGUGCCCUAAUCUGCGUUGCCUCCCAAGCCUUCCCUCUAGUUUAUUAUCCUUGGGUUUGCACUCUAAACACAUGACCGCCUUACCCACAGAUUGUAGGAGUCUCCUUCCCCGACUCCAAACACUUGAUCUCUGGUGCCCUAAUCUGCGUUGCCGCCUGAGCCUUCCCUCCAGUUUAUCAUUAUUGAGAUUGGAUGGUUGCAAGUCAUUUGUUUUCCCCGGGGAUCUAUCGAAUUUGACGAACCUAUCAAAUCUUUGGAUUACUGACUGUGUAAUCUCAGAGAUUCGAGGCCUUGAUGGUUCGGAGAACCCAGAUUUGCAGCUUUCGGAACUUCAACAGGUGUGGAUAUUACCUGAUCUAAGUAAUCUCAACCAACUACGGUAUCUUCAUCUGUGGAACUGCAGUAAUCUGGUUGAGAUUCAAGGCGAACUACCACAAUGUUUGGAAGAAUUGAGUAUUUUUGGAUGUGGAUCUUUACAGAAGUUGCCUGAUCUAUCAAGCUUGAAGGGACUGCGAUCUGUUGAUAUAUGGCAAUGCGGGAAAUUAAAUGUGGAGGCAAUUUCUUUGCUUUGCUCGGAGAAGGCAGUCAGAUUUGUGGGAGACAGAGACGAAUCAGAGGUACAAGAUGACGAAUCUGGAUACGAAUUUGAAUAUGGAUCUGAGGGAGAAGACUGACGGAUAAGUGCACGUUGCUCUUGAAAGCUUCUUGAUCGCCGACCACAAAUUGUUCCCUCGCGUGCAAACUUUAAACGAAUUGAGGAAAGAUGUGCUUCUUAGUGGGAUUUGCAAAUAUUAUGGAGAAGUCAUAAAAUGAAGAAAGAGGAAUUUUACUUGGGUAGCGGAUCAAUAGUUGGUGCAGCAAAACUUCCACCUCCAAGGAAAGGUGUGCUUCUUAGCGGGAUUUGCAAAUGUUAUGGAGAAGUUAUAAAAUGAAGAAAGAGGAAUUUCACUUGGGUAGCGGCAUCAAUAGUUGGUGUAGCAAAGCUUCCAUCUGUGACAGGAGAGGAGAACUAUUUAGCUUGGCCAAGGCACUGCCAUCCUUAAUGUGAGUUGAUCGGGUUGAAAUACUUCGCAGAAAGGGAUAACAUGCGUGAGGCCUCUGAUCGUUUCAACUUGAAGAGGUUCAACUGAUGCAAUGUCUGGCUUGCUUAGAAGAUUCAGCCAUUUCUUGAAAAAUUUAGAAGACAUGCUCAGCAGAGAAGUUCAUUUUCCAAUAAGAAGUGCAUGUGGUACUUGAAAGGUCCUGCAUCCAAAGCUAAGUCUGUUGUCAAGGAAGAUUUGAAACUUAAACAAAUUUCUUAUUGUCCUAUGUCAUCUCAAGAGAUAUUCACUGUAGUCUUUCCUGGGAUCGUUAUCUGUUAUACAUAAAUUACAAUCACACUUUGGCAAGUUGACAUGAAAUCUAUUGUUGUAGGCAUAGUUAUUACUGGCUGUUUUUGCAGCCGUUUUCUACCUUUAAGAUGGACGUUGUAAACUGCUCAUGAAAUGGGACCGUGGUUUCUUUUGAUCUA